UGGGUAACCUGCCUCAUAGAGGGGAAUAGCCUUCCGAAAGGAAGAUUAAUACCGCAUAAGAUUGUAGUUUCGCAUGAAACAGCAAUUAAAGGAGCAAUCCGCUAUGAGAUGGACCCGCGUCGCAUUAGCUAGUUGGUGAGGUAACGGCUCACCAAGGCGACGAUGCGUAGCCGACCUGAGAGGGUGAUCGGCCACAUUGGGACUGAGACACGGCCCAGACUCCUACGGGAGGCAGCAGUGGGGAAUAUUGCACAAUGGGGGAAACCCUGAUGCAGCAACGCCGCGUGAGUGAUGACGGUCUUCGGAUUGUAAAACUCUGUCUUUGGGGACGAUAAUGACGGUACCCAAGGAGGAAGCCACGGCUAACUACGUGCCAGCAGCCGCGGUAAUACGUAGGUGGCAAGCGUUGUCCGGAUUUACUGGGCGUAAAGGGAGCGUAGGUGGAUAUUUAAGUGGGAUGUGAAAUACUCGGGCUUAACCUGAGUGCUCCCUCCCAAACUGCAUAUCUAGAGUGCCGGAGAGGAAAGUAGAAUUCCUACUCUAGCGGUGAAAUGCGUAGAGCUUAGGAACAAUCCCCCUGGCGAAGGCGACCUUUCUCGACUGUAACUGACACUGACGCUCGAAACGCGUGGGGAGCAACCAGGAUUAGAUACCCUGGUAGUCCACGCCCUAAACGAUGAAUACUAGGUGUAGGGGUUGUCAUGACCUCUGUGCCGCCGCUAACGCAUUAAGUAUUCCGCCUGGGGAGUACGGUCGCAAGAUUAAAACUCAAAGGAAUUGACGGGGGCCCGCACAAGCAGCGGAGCAUGUGGUUUAAUUCGAAGCAACGCGAAGAACCUUACCUAGACUUGACAUCUCCUGAAUUACCCUUAAUCGGGGAAGCCCUUCGGGGCAGGAAGACAGGUGGUGCAUGGUUGUCGUCAGCCCGUGUCGUGAGAUGUUGGGUUAAGUCCCGCAACGAGCGCAACCCUUAUUGUUAGUUGCUACCAUUUAGUUGAGCACUCUAGCGAGACUGCCCGGGUUAACCGGGAGGAAGGUGGGGAUGACGUCAAAUCAUCAUGCCCCUUAUGUCUAGGGCUACACACGUGCUACAAUGGCUGGUACAGAGAGAUGCUAAACCGCGAGGUGGAGCCAAACUUCAAAACCAGUCUCAGUUCGGAUUGUAGGCUGAAACUCCGCC
Molecule: ribosomal RNA, 1180 nt
Filed under: uncultured Clostridium sp.
Lineage: Bacteria; Bacillati; Bacillota; Clostridia; Eubacteriales; Clostridiaceae
Description: bacterial SSU rRNA
Rfam family: Bacterial small subunit ribosomal RNA
Source: RNAcentral